This 74-nucleotide transfer RNA is filed under the name Bacillus toyonensis. RNAcentral's name for it is "tRNA-Cys". It matches the Rfam family "tRNA". Rfam says of the family: Transfer RNA (tRNA) molecules are approximately 80 nucleotides in length. Their secondary structure includes four short double-helical elements and three loops (D, anti-codon, and T loops). Further hydrogen bonds mediate the characteristic L-shaped molecular structure. tRNAs have two regions of fundamental functional importance: the anti-codon, which is responsible for specific mRNA codon recognition, and the 3' end, to which the tRNAs corresponding amino acid is attached (by aminoacyl-tRNA synthetases). tRNAs cope with the degeneracy of the genetic code in two manners: having more than one tRNA (with a specific anti-codon) for a particular amino acid; and 'wobble' base-pairing, i.e. permitting non-standard base-pairing at the 3rd anti-codon position. Lineage: Bacteria; Bacillati; Bacillota; Bacilli; Caryophanales; Bacillaceae. The record is from RNAcentral.
GGCGGUAUAGCCAAGUGGAAAGGCAAAAGUCUGCAAAACUUUUAUCCUCGGUUCGAAUCCGAGUGCCGCCUCUA